Molecule: long non-coding RNA, 301 nt
Filed under: Nicotiana benthamiana
Lineage: Eukaryota; Viridiplantae; Streptophyta; Magnoliopsida; Solanales; Solanaceae
Description: long non-coding RNA (NBEN_LNC027054)
Source: RNAcentral
UAUACUGCACAAUAAUGUAUAAUCACACAUUAUGUUAGGUGUACCCAAUUACUUAAGCAUGUAACUAGAUAUACUUGAAUUCAAUAAGAAAAUAGACUUGAAAACAAAAACAAUUUCACGUAACCUCAUUAUUACUAACAUUUUUUAUUUCUACACAGAGAAAGAUGAAUAAUCAAUAAAAGAUUCUUGGAAUUAGUCAAAGCAGGAUGUAAUAUUUUAAUGAUGCAAACACUAUUUAUAUUCAUAUUUUGGAUACGUACUACUGUCAAGAAAAUAUUAUUGUUAUCUAAGUCUAUUGUUG